Molecule: unclassified non-coding RNA, 317 nt
Filed under: Hevea brasiliensis (rubber tree)
Lineage: Eukaryota; Viridiplantae; Streptophyta; Magnoliopsida; Malpighiales; Euphorbiaceae
Source: RNAcentral
UGAUGAUAUAAAUUUGUUUAAUUGAUUGAUAGUACAUAUGUACAUAUUAAAUCUUCUUGGUCAUGAUAAUUGCUUUUCUGGGACUAGUCUUGUCAGUUUUGUUUACUUUAUAUUAUUUUUGGUAUACUGGUGUUCUAUCUAUCCACCGUCUAUCCAGUUCUCUUCUUAUUUUUCUUAUCCAAGUUUGGGAUAAUAUUUUCUUAUAUGGCAAGCAAAUUGAGGAACAUAUUGCUUCUGGUAGAAGCAGAAAUCAUAGAAUCCAGAAAUAUCAUUAAUGAGUGGGUUUAUUUUGCAGGAUACUGCAAAGAGUGUGACAA